AGAGUUUGAUCCUGGCUCAGAACGAACGCUGGCGGCGUGCCUAACACAUGCAAGUCGAACGGAGAUAAGGGGCUUGCUCCUUAUUUUAGUGGCGCACGGGUGAGUAACGCGUGGAUAAUCUACCUUGGAAUCUGGGAUAACAUUUCGAAAGGGGUGCUAAUACCGGAUAAGACCACGAGCUCUUUGGAGUUUGCGGUAAAAGGGGGCCUCUGUAUAUGCUUCUGUUUCAAGAUGAGUCCGCGUACCAUUAGCUAGUUGGCAGGGUAAUGGCCUACCAAGGCGACGAUGGUUAGCUGGUCUGAGAGGAUGAUCAGCCACACUGGAACUGAGACACGGUCCAGACUCCUACGGGAGGCAGCAGUGGGGAAUAUUGCACAAUGGGGGAAACCCUGAUGCAGCAACGCCGCG
This 408-nucleotide ribosomal RNA is filed under the name uncultured bacterium. RNAcentral's name for it is "bacterial SSU rRNA". It matches the Rfam family "Bacterial small subunit ribosomal RNA", at positions 8 to 401 of the family's 1533-position model. The record is from RNAcentral.